This 331-nucleotide long non-coding RNA is filed under the name Vulpes vulpes (red fox). RNAcentral describes it as "lncRNA (ENSVVUG00000002201.1)". The record is from RNAcentral. Lineage: Eukaryota; Metazoa; Chordata; Mammalia; Carnivora; Canidae.
CUGAAACUAGGAGAUGUGAGUUGGAGACUUUUCUUUUUUAUGAAUGAUAUGAACUCUUCACUUUCUGGGCCUUAGUGUUUGUAGUUACCAUGUACAAUGUCUUUUGGAAGAUUUUCUCAAAGGAAAAGUUCUGUGAUCAAAAGACUUCAGUAGUAGAUAGGAGACCUUCGGGGAGCAAAUCUGAUCACAUGUAUAAACUCCUGCCAAAUUGCCAAAGGAAAGGAUUUGAACAGAGGAGUCUCAGAAAGCAACUAAACCACCCGGAAUCAUAGUGGGGGUAAAAACAAUCAAGGUUAGGACUGGGCUGGAAAUGAGACCUGUUUGUGCUCAC